GACAAAUCUGAAUAGCUUUCAUAUCUGCUUUCUACAGUAAUGGGGUGAACUCUGAGAUAGUGCUGUGCGUCAUGGUAUGACUACUAAUUCGAAUCCUGAAAUAGCUGAGGCACACUGAGUUUGAUAGACAUCAGUACUGGUGGCAAGCAACCCAAAUGUAACCAACUGAGUGUUGAGUACAAAAUUUGUCACAUGACAUUAAA
Pangasianodon hypophthalmus (striped catfish) is the source of this 203-nucleotide long non-coding RNA. RefSeq lists it as uncharacterized. The record is from RefSeq and is a predicted model, not a curated record. NCBI's taxonomy places the organism in Eukaryota, Metazoa, Chordata, Actinopteri, Siluriformes, Pangasiidae. The transcript has 3 exons.